RNAcentral lists this non-coding RNA (20 nucleotides) under Arabidopsis thaliana (thale cress). Lineage: Eukaryota; Viridiplantae; Streptophyta; Magnoliopsida; Brassicales; Brassicaceae. The record is from RNAcentral.
UGUACUACGGGUGAAAUCCG